GAGUUUGAUCCUGGCUCAGAUUGAACGCUGGCGGCAUGCCUUACACAUGCAAGUCGAACGGCAGCAUGAUCUAGCUUGCUAGAUUGAUGGCGAGUGGCGAACGGGUGAGUAAUACAUCGGAACGUGCCCUGUAGUGGGGGAUAACUAGUCGAAAGAUUAGCUAAUACCGCAUACGACCUGAGGGUGAAAGUGGGGGACCGCAAGGCCUCAUGCUAUAGGAGCGGCCGAUGUCUGAUUAGCUAGUUGGUGGGGUAAAGGCCCACCAAGGCGACGAUCAGUAGCUGGUCUGAGGGGACGAUCAGCCACACUGGGACUGAGACACGGCCCAGACUCCUACGGGAGGCAGCAGUGGGGAAUUUUGGACAAUGGGCGAAAGCCUGAUCCAGCAAUGCCGCGUGUGUG
This 402-nucleotide ribosomal RNA is filed under the name uncultured microorganism. Its description in RNAcentral is "bacterial SSU rRNA". It matches the Rfam family "Bacterial small subunit ribosomal RNA", at positions 9 to 407 of the family's 1533-position model. The record is from RNAcentral.